GCAUUGGUGAUUCAGUGGUCGAAUUCUCAUCUUCCAUGCUGGAGACCUGGGUUUGACCCCCGGCCAAUGUA
Molecule: transfer RNA, 71 nt
Filed under: Loxodonta africana (African savanna elephant)
Lineage: Eukaryota; Metazoa; Chordata; Mammalia; Proboscidea; Elephantidae
Rfam family: tRNA
About the family: Transfer RNA (tRNA) molecules are approximately 80 nucleotides in length. Their secondary structure includes four short double-helical elements and three loops (D, anti-codon, and T loops).
Source: Rfam by way of RNAcentral